RNAcentral lists this ribosomal RNA (465 nucleotides) under Vreelandella stevensii. Its description in RNAcentral is "partial 16S ribosomal RNA". It matches the Rfam family "Bacterial small subunit ribosomal RNA", at positions 338 to 795 of the family's 1533-position model. The record is from RNAcentral. Lineage: Bacteria; Pseudomonadati; Pseudomonadota; Gammaproteobacteria; Oceanospirillales; Halomonadaceae.
CCUACGGGAGGCAGCAGUGGGGAAUAUUGGACAAUGGGCGAAAGCCUGAUCCAGCCAUGCCGCGUGUGUGAAGAAGGCCUUCGGGUUGUAAAGCACUUUCAGUGGGGAAGAAAGCCUUGGGGCUAAUACCCUCGAGGAAGGACAUCACCCACAGAAGAAGCACCGGCUAACUCCGUGCCAGCAGCCGCGGUAAUACGGAGGGUGCGAGCGUUAAUCGGAAUUACUGGGCGUAAAGCGCGCGUAGGCGGUCUGAUAAGCCGGUUGUGAAAGCCCCGGGCUCAACCUGGGAACGGCAUCCGGAACUGUCAGGCUAGAGUGCAGGAGAGGGAGGUAGAAUUCCCGGUGUAGCGGUGAAAUGCGUAGAGAUCGGGAGGAAUACCAGUGGCGAAGGCGGCCUUCUGGACUGACACUGACGCUGAGGUGCGAAAGCGUGGGUAGCAAACAGGAUUAGAUACCCCUGUAGUC